GACGAACGCUGGCGGCGUGCUUAACACAUGCAAGUCGAACGAUGAAGCCCAGCUUGCUGGGUGGAAGAGUGGCGAACGGGUGAGUAACACGUGAGUAACCUGCCCUGAACUCUGGGAUAAGCACUGGAAACGGUGUCUAAUACUGGAUACGACCUAUCACCGCAUGGUGUGUGGGUGGAAAGAUUUAUCGGUUCUGGAUGGACUCGCGGCCUAUCAGCUAGAUGGUGAGGUAAUGGCUCACCAUGGCGACGACGGGUAGCCGGCCUGAGAGGGUGACCGGCCACACUGGGACUGAGACACGGCCCAGACUCCUACGGGAGGCAGCAGUGGGGAAUAUUGCGCAAUGGGGGCAAGCCUGAUGCGACAACGCCGCGUGAGGGAUGACGGCCUUCGGGUUGUAAACCUCUUUUAGUGGGGAAGAAGCGAAAGUGACGGUACCUGCAGAAAAAGCACCGGCUAACUACGUG
This 467-nucleotide ribosomal RNA is filed under the name uncultured bacterium. RNAcentral's name for it is "partial 16S ribosomal RNA". It matches the Rfam family "Bacterial small subunit ribosomal RNA", at positions 28 to 507 of the family's 1533-position model. The record is from RNAcentral.